AGUGAACGCUGGCGGUAGGCCUAGCACAUGCAAGUCGAACGGCAGCACAGUAAGAGCUUGCUCUUACGGGUGGCGAGUGGCGGACGGGUGAGGAAUACAUCGGAAUCUACUUUUUCGUGGGGGAUAACGUAGGGAAACUUACGCUAAUACCGCAUACGACCUACGGGUGAAAGCAGGGGAUCUUCGGACCUUGCGCGAUUGAAUGAGCCGAUGUCGGAUUAGCUAGUUGGCGGGGUAAAGGCCCACCAAGGCGACGAUCCGUAGCUGGUCUGAGAGGAUGAUCAGCCACACUGGAACUGAGACACGGUCCAGACUCCUACGGGAGGCAGCAGUGGCGAAUAUUGGACAAUGGGCGCAAGCCUGAUCCAGCCAUACCGCGUGGGUGCAGAAGGCCUUCGGGUUGUAAAGCUCUUUUGUUGGGAAAGAAAAGCAGCAGGUUAAUACCCCGCUGUUCUGACGGUACCCAAAGAAUAAGCACCGGCUAACUUCGUG
This 492-nucleotide ribosomal RNA is filed under the name uncultured bacterium. RNAcentral describes it as "partial 16S ribosomal RNA". It matches the Rfam family "Bacterial small subunit ribosomal RNA", at positions 29 to 507 of the family's 1533-position model. The record is from RNAcentral.